GAUGAAGAAGAACUUGCUAAAGAAAACAACAAGAAUGCUUCAUCUUCAACAGGUAAAAUUACUUUGAGUGUGACCAAGAGCAAGCCUGAGACUGGUGAAGUUAUUGGUGUGUUUGAGAGUAUUCAGCCCUCUGAUACUGAUUUGGGAGCAAAAGCUCCAAAGGAUGUGAAGAUCCAGGGUGUUUGGUAUGCUCAGCUCGACUCUUAGGCCCCUUUUUCUUUCUUCUUUUAUGAUUGUAAUAUUGUUCCUUGUAAGUUAAAAGAGAGAGUUGCUAAACUUUCUUAUGGAGAGAAACGCUAGAAGGGGUUCUAUUUUAU
Molecule: unclassified non-coding RNA, 317 nt
Filed under: Hevea brasiliensis (rubber tree)
Lineage: Eukaryota; Viridiplantae; Streptophyta; Magnoliopsida; Malpighiales; Euphorbiaceae
Source: RNAcentral